Molecule: ribosomal RNA, 522 nt
Filed under: uncultured bacterium
Lineage: Bacteria
Description: bacterial SSU rRNA
Rfam family: Bacterial small subunit ribosomal RNA
Source: RNAcentral
AAUAGAUACCCCGGUAGUCCAUGCCGUAAACGAUGUCUACUAGCCGUUGGGGCCUUUGAGGCUUUAGUGGCGCAGCUAACGCGAUAAGUAGACCGCCUGGGGAGUACGGUCGCAAGACUAAAACUCAAAUGAAUUGACGGGGGGCCCGCACAAGCGGUGGAGCAUGUGGUUUAAUUCGAUGCAACGCGAAGAACCUUACCUGGUCUUGACAUACAGAGAACUUUCCAGAGAUGGAUUGGUGCCUUCGGGAACUCUGAUACAGGUGCUGCAUGGCUGUCGUCAGCUCGUGUCGUGAGAUGUUGGGUUAAGUCCCGCAACGAGCGCAACCCUUUUCCUUACUUGCCAUCGGGUCAUGCCGGGAACUUUAAGGAUACUGCCAGUGACAAACUGGAGGAAGGCGGGGACGACGUCAAGUCAUCAUGGCCCUUACGACCAGGGCUACACACGUGCUACAAUGGUCGGUACAAAGGGUUGCUACCUAGCGAUAGGAUGCUAAUCUCAAAAAGCCGAUCGUAGUCCGGA